This 63-nucleotide transfer RNA is filed under the name Lasioglossum calceatum. RNAcentral describes it as "tRNA-His". It matches the Rfam family "tRNA". From Rfam's summary of the family: Transfer RNA (tRNA) molecules are approximately 80 nucleotides in length. Lineage: Eukaryota; Metazoa; Arthropoda; Insecta; Hymenoptera; Halictidae. RNAcentral also lists the same sequence under 2 other names. The record is from RNAcentral.
AUUUAAAUAGUUUAACAGAAAAUAUUGAAUUGUGAAUUCAAAGAUGUUUAUUAACUUUAAAUU